RNAcentral lists this ribosomal RNA (253 nucleotides) under uncultured bacterium. Its description in RNAcentral is "partial 16S ribosomal RNA". It matches the Rfam family "Bacterial small subunit ribosomal RNA", at positions 524 to 776 of the family's 1533-position model. The record is from RNAcentral.
UACGUAGGUGACCAGCGUUGUCCGGAUUUACUGGGCGUAAAGAGCGCGCAGGCGGUCGUUCAAGUCGAGUGUGAAAGCCCCCGGCUCAACUGGGGAGGGUCAUUCGAUACUGAUCGACUCGAAGGCAGGAGAGGGUAGUGGAAUUCCCGGUGUAGUGGUGAAAUGCGUAGAUAUCGGGAGGAACACCAGUGGCGAAGGCGACUACCUGGCCUGUUCUUGACGCUGAGGCGCGAAAGCUAGGGGAGCAAACGGG